ACGACCGCUCUUCCAUCAUCUGAGAUCUUACCGCUCCAAUUCAGUAUGCAGUUUUCUGACCUGAUCGGAGGUCCAAUAACUUACCAGAUCGAGUGUCCAUGUAUGGGAAUGGAUCAUAGCAUGUUGACAGUUCAUAGGAGCGCAUCUAUCUUUCUAUCAGCAACUCGAUAGAGGGCCGCCAUUCACAGUUGAAGUUGUGUUAUACCUGGUGGUGGUUCAGAACUGUUAAAUGAACGCAUAUGGAAUGCCUAUGCUAGACCGCAGGUAUAUGUUCCCCUUGAAGGGGAACACAUUUACUACUUCCCCAAGGACAUAUGUGGUGCUUUUCAAAAUGGCAAACUUGCAGAUAGCAUAAAACCCAUCUCUCAAAAUUAAUUCCAAGUCAUCUUGUAUUGUUUUAUUAUGCAGUUGUUGUGUUCCAAUUUAAGCAUUUAACUGUAUAUAAAAUGAAAGCAACUUGUUA
Molecule: long non-coding RNA, 463 nt
Organism: Helianthus annuus (common sunflower)
Lineage: Eukaryota; Viridiplantae; Streptophyta; Magnoliopsida; Asterales; Asteraceae
Exons: 3
Source: RefSeq, a predicted model, not a curated record